Molecule: transfer RNA, 72 nt
Filed under: Candidatus Wildermuthbacteria bacterium RIFCSPHIGHO2_02_FULL_49_12b
Lineage: Bacteria; Candidatus Wildermuthiibacteriota
Description: tRNA-Val
Rfam family: tRNA
About the family: Transfer RNA (tRNA) molecules are approximately 80 nucleotides in length. Their secondary structure includes four short double-helical elements and three loops (D, anti-codon, and T loops).
Source: RNAcentral
GGGCACUUGGCGCAGUGGUAGCGCGCUUCGUUCACAUAGAAGAGGUCACAGGUUCGAACCCUGUAGUGCCCA